RNAcentral lists this ribosomal RNA (467 nucleotides) under uncultured bacterium. RNAcentral's name for it is "partial 16S ribosomal RNA". It matches the Rfam family "Bacterial small subunit ribosomal RNA", at positions 28 to 506 of the family's 1533-position model. The record is from RNAcentral.
GACGAACGCUGGCGGCGUGCUUAACACAUGCAAGUCGAACGGAAAGGCCCUGCUUUUGUGGGGUGCUCGAGUGGCGAACGGGUGAGUAACACGUGAGUAACCUGCCCUUGACUUUGGGAUAACUUCAGGAAACUGGGGCUAAUACCGGAUAGGAGCUCCUGCUGCAUGGUGGGGGUUGGAAAGUUUCGGCGGUUGGGGAUGGACUCGCGGCUUAUCAGCUUGUUGGUGGGGUAGUGGCUUACCAAGGCUUUGACGGGUAGCCGGCCUGAGAGGGUGACCGGCCACAUUGGGACUGAGAUCCGGCCCAGACUCCUACGGGAGGCAGCAGUGGGGAAUAUUGCACAAUGGGCGGAAGCCUGAGGCAGCAACGCCGCGUGCGGGAUGACGGCCUUCGGGUGGUAAACCGCUUUCGCCUGUGACGAAGCGUGAGUGACGGGAAUGGGGAAAGAAGCACCGGCUAACUACGU